GGAAAUGUGGCUUAGUGGUAAAGUGCUUGCCUAGCAUGCAUGAAGCCCUGAGUUCAAUUCCUCAGUACCA
RNAcentral lists this transfer RNA (70 nucleotides) under Dipodomys ordii (Ord's kangaroo rat). It matches the Rfam family "tRNA". Rfam says of the family: Transfer RNA (tRNA) molecules are approximately 80 nucleotides in length. Their secondary structure includes four short double-helical elements and three loops (D, anti-codon, and T loops). Lineage: Eukaryota; Metazoa; Chordata; Mammalia; Rodentia; Heteromyidae. The record is from Rfam by way of RNAcentral.